RNAcentral lists this transfer RNA (67 nucleotides) under Hylomyscus baeri (Baer's wood mouse). RNAcentral's name for it is "tRNA-Gly". It matches the Rfam family "tRNA". From Rfam's summary of the family: Transfer RNA (tRNA) molecules are approximately 80 nucleotides in length. Lineage: Eukaryota; Metazoa; Chordata; Mammalia; Rodentia; Muridae. The record is from RNAcentral.
ACUCUCUUAGUAUAAGUAAUAUAACUGACUUCCAAUCAGUAGAUUCCGAUACUUACGGAAGAGAGUA